RNAcentral lists this transfer-messenger RNA (363 nucleotides) under Neisseriaceae bacterium. Its description in RNAcentral is "transfer-messenger RNA, SsrA". It matches the Rfam family "transfer-messenger RNA". Rfam says of the family: Bacterial tmRNA, also known as 10Sa RNA or SsrA, is named for its dual tRNA and mRNA-like properties. Its role is to liberate the mRNA from a stalled ribosome. The record is from RNAcentral. Lineage: Bacteria; Pseudomonadati; Pseudomonadota; Betaproteobacteria; Neisseriales; Neisseriaceae. RNAcentral also lists the same sequence under 1 other name.
GGGGGCGAUCUUGGUUUCGACGGGGGUUGCGAAGCAGAUGCGGGCAUACCGGGGUCUCAGAAGCCCGUUAAACACUGAACUCAAAUAGUCGCAAACGACGAAACUUACGCACUGGCCGCCUAAGGCCUGCCGUUGCAGCAGCUGGUCAAUGGGCUGUGUAGCGCAAGCUACCGCAACGUCAUUUCACAUUGACUGGUUUUCCGUCGGGUUACUUGGCGGAAAGCGAGAUUUAAGGUAACUGGUUUCUUGAAAGCCUGUUGGUCGGCGCGAUAGAAAUAAGAUUUCCAAAUAGACACAACUAAGUAUGUAGAACGCUUUGUAGAGGACUUUCGGACGCGGGUUCGAUUCCCGCCGCCUCCACCA